GACGAACGCUGGCGGCGUGCCUAAUACAUGCAAGUAGAACGCUGAAGGAGGAGCUUGCUUCUCUGGAUGAGUUGCGAACGGGUGAGUAACGCGUAGGUAACCUGCCUGGCAGCGGGGGAUAACUAUUGGAAACGAUAGCUAAUACCGCAUAAUAUUGACUAUUGCAUGAUAGUCAAUUAAAAGGUGCAAUUGCAUCACUACCAGAUGGACCUGCGUUGUAUUAGCUAGUUGGUGAGGUAACGGCUCACCAAGGCGACGAUACAUAGCCGACCUGAGAGGGUGAUCGGCCACACUGGGACUGAGACACGGCCCAGACUCCUACGGGAGGCAGCAGUAGGGAAUCUUCGGCAAUGGACGGAAGUCUGACCGAGCAACGCCGCGUGAGUGAAGAAGGUUUUCGGAUCGUAAAGCUCUGUUGUAAGAGAAGAACGAGUGUGAGAGUGGAAAGUUCACACNGNGACGGU
This 464-nucleotide ribosomal RNA is filed under the name uncultured bacterium. RNAcentral describes it as "bacterial SSU rRNA". It matches the Rfam family "Bacterial small subunit ribosomal RNA", at positions 28 to 476 of the family's 1533-position model. The record is from RNAcentral.